UGAAGCUGCUAAGGUGAGAGGAUGAAUGUC
RNAcentral lists this non-coding RNA (30 nucleotides) under Homo sapiens (human). Lineage: Eukaryota; Metazoa; Chordata; Mammalia; Primates; Hominidae. The record is from RNAcentral.